CACGUGUUGGUAUAGGAGAAGUCAGCAGAAGUCAUAGUAGUUGAUCGCAACGAGCCGAUGGAAAGAUCGGAGGUCUCACAAAUCAAUGAAGGAC
RNAcentral lists this non-coding RNA (94 nucleotides) under Ohtaekwangia koreensis. The record is from RNAcentral. Lineage: Bacteria; Pseudomonadati; Bacteroidota; Cytophagia; Cytophagales; Fulvivirgaceae.